Molecule: transfer RNA, 66 nt
Filed under: Heteroteuthis hawaiiensis
Lineage: Eukaryota; Metazoa; Mollusca; Cephalopoda; Sepiida; Sepiolidae
Also listed under: 2 other names
Description: tRNA-Ala
Source: RNAcentral
GGUAUUAUACUUUAUAAUAGAAGAAAUGAUUUGCAAUCAUAAAGAAAGACUAAAUCUUUUAUACCA